AGUGAACGCUGGCGGUAGGCCUAACACAUGCAAGUCGAACGGCAGCACAGUAAGAGCUUGCUCUUACGGGUGGCGAGUGGCGGACGGGUGAGGAAUACAUCGGAAUCUACUUUUUCGUGGGGGAUAACGUAGGGAAAUUUACGCUAAUACCGCAUACGACCUACGGGUGAAAGCAGGGGAUCUUCGGACCUUGCGCGAUUGAAUGAGCCGAUGUCGGAUUGGCUAGUUGGCGGGGUAAAGGCCCACCAAGGCGACGAUCCGUAGCUGGUCUGAGAGGAUGAUCAGCCACACUGGAACUGAGACACGGUCCAGACUCCUACGGGAGGCAGCAGUGGGGAAUAUUGGACAAUGGGCGCAAGCCUGAUCCAGCCAUACCGCGUGGGUGAAGAAGGCCUUCGGGUUGUAAAGCCCUUUUGUUGGGAAAGAAAAGCAGCAGGUUAAUACCCCGCUGUUCUGACGGUACCCAAAGAAUAAGCACCGGCUAACUUCGUG
Molecule: ribosomal RNA, 492 nt
Filed under: uncultured bacterium
Lineage: Bacteria
Description: partial 16S ribosomal RNA
Rfam family: Bacterial small subunit ribosomal RNA
Source: RNAcentral